AGCGAACGCUGGCGGCAGGCUUAACACAUGCAAGUCGAGCGCCCCGCCAGGGGAGCGGCAGACGGGAGUGUAACACGUGGGAAGAUACCGUUUUGUUCGGAACAACUGAGGGAGACUUCAGCUAAUACCGGAUAAGCCCUUACGGUGAAAGAUAUAUCGCCGAAAGAUUGGCGCGCGUCUGAUUAGCUAGUUGGUGAGGUAACGGCGCACCAAGGCGACGAUCGGUAGCUGGUCUGAGAGGAUGAUCAGCCUCACUGGGACUGAGACACGGCCCAGACUCCUACGGGAGGCAGCAGUGGGGAAUACAGGACAGUCGGGGCAACCCUGAUCCAGCCAUGCCGCGUGAGUGAUGAAGGCCUUAGGGUUGUAAGGCUCUUUUGCCCGGGAAGAUAAUGACGGUACCGGGAGAAUAAGCCCCGGCUAACUUCGUG
RNAcentral lists this ribosomal RNA (431 nucleotides) under uncultured bacterium. RNAcentral's name for it is "partial 16S ribosomal RNA". It matches the Rfam family "Bacterial small subunit ribosomal RNA", at positions 29 to 507 of the family's 1533-position model. The record is from RNAcentral.